AGUUUGAUCCUGGCUCAGAUUGAACGCUGGCGGCAUGCCUUACACAUGCAAGUCGAACGGUAACAGGUCUUCGGAUGCUGACGAGUGGCGAACGGGUGAGUAAUACAUCGGAACGUGCCCGAGAGUGGGGGAUAACGAAGCGAAAGCUUUGCUAAUACCGCAUACGAUCUCAGGAUGAAAGCAGGGGACCGCAAGGCCUUGCGCUCACGGAGCGGCCGAUGGCAGAUUAGGUAGUUGGUGGGAUAAAAGCUUACCAAGCCGACGAUCUGUAGCUGGUCUGAGAGGACGACCAGCCACACUGGGACUGAGACACGGCCCAGACUCCUACGGGAGGCAGCAGUGGGGAAUUUUGGACAAUGGGCGCAAGCCUGAUCCAGCCAUGCCGCGUGCAGGAUGAAGGCCUUCGGGUUGUAAACUGCUUUUGUACGGAACGAAAAGACUCCUUCUAAUAAAGGGGGUCCAUGACGGUACCGUAAGAAUAAGCACCGGCUAACUACGUG
Molecule: ribosomal RNA, 500 nt
Filed under: uncultured Acidovorax sp.
Lineage: Bacteria; Pseudomonadati; Pseudomonadota; Betaproteobacteria; Burkholderiales; Comamonadaceae
Description: bacterial SSU rRNA
Rfam family: Bacterial small subunit ribosomal RNA
Source: RNAcentral